UCAUAAAAAAAAUGACACGGCAAUGGGAUGUUUUGAACAGGGAACCCCGUGAGAAUCGGGGACGGGCCCGCCGCUGUAAUCCGUUUUUUCCAUAAUUAAAGGGAAAGCCACUUCAGCUGUGUAUGCCACUGCCUUAUUGUAUUGGAUUUGUUUUCAGCUUGAUUUUAAACCGUAAUUUUCAAUGAUUUACAAAAUCAUUGAUAUGGAAAAUUAUAGCUUAAAAGCCUGCUUUGUAAAAACAGAUGCAAUCCCGGGUGGGAAGGCUGCUGAAAGGGUAAGGAGAGUCAGAAGACCUGCCUGAACAAUAGAUGAAUC
Molecule: non-coding RNA, 315 nt
Filed under: Desulfocicer vacuolatum
Lineage: Bacteria; Pseudomonadati; Thermodesulfobacteriota; Desulfobacteria; Desulfobacterales; Desulfobacteraceae
Source: RNAcentral